AGCGUACACGGUGGAUGCCCUGGCAGUCAGAGGCGAUGAAGGACGUGCUAAUCUGCGAUAAGCGUCGGUGAGGUGAUAUGAACCGUUAUAACCGGCGAUUUCCGAAUGGGGAAACCCAGUGUGUUUCGACACACUAUCAUUAACUGAAUCCAUAGGUUAAUGAGGCGAACCGGGGGAACUGAAACAUCUAAGUACCCCGAGGAAAAGAAAUCAACCGAGAUUCCCCCAGUAGCGGCGAGCGAACGGGGAGGAGCCCAGAGCCUGAAUCAGUGUGUGUGUUAGUGGAAGCGUCUGGAAAGGCGCGCGAUACAGGGUGACAGCCCCGUACACAAAAAUGCACAUAUUGUGAGCUCGAUGAGUAGGGCGGGACACGUGGUAUCCUGUCUGAAUAUGGGGGGACCAUCCUCCAAGGCUAAAUACUCCUGACUGACCGAUAGUGAACCAGUACCGUGAGGGAAAGGCGAAAAGAACCCCGGCGAGGGGAGUGAAAAAGAACCUGAAACCGUGUACGUACAAGCAGUGGGAGCCUCUUAAUGGGGUGACUGCGUACCUUUUGUAUAAUGGGUCAGCGACUUAUAUUCUGUAGCAAGGUUAACCGAAUAGGGGAGCCGAAGGGAAACCGAGUCUUAACUGGGCGUUAAGUUGCAGGGUAUAGACCCGAAACCCGGUGAUCUAGCCAUGGGCAGGUUGAAGGUUGGGUAACACUAACUGGAGGACCGAACCGACUAAUGUUGAAAAAUUAGCGGAUGACUUGUGGCUGGGGGUGAAAGGCCAAUCAAACCGGGAGAUAGCUGGUUCUCCCCGAAAGCUAUUUAGGUAGCGCCUCGUGAAUUCAUCUCCGGGGGUAGAGCACUGUUUCGGCAAGGGGGUCAUCCCGACUUACCAACCCGAUGCAAACUGCGAAUACCGGAGAAUGUUAUCACGGGAGACACACGGCGGGUGCUAACGUCCGUCGUGAAGAGGGAAACAACCCAGACCGCCAGCUAAGGUCCCAAAGUCAUGGUUAAGUGGGAAACGAUGUGGGAAGGCCCAGACAGCCAGGAUGUUGGCUUAGAAGCAGCCAUCAUUUAAAGAAAGCGUAAUAGCUCACUGGUCGAGUCGGCCUGCGCGGAAGAUGUAACGGGGCUAAACCAUGCACCGAAGCUGCGGCAGCGACACUAUGUGUUGUUGGGUAGGGGAGCGUUCUGUAAGCCUGUGAAGGUGGCCUGUGAGGGUUGCUGGAGGUAUCAGAAGUGCGAAUGCUGACAUAAGUAACGAUAAAGCGGGUGAAAAGCCCGCUCGCCGGAAGACCAAGGGUUCCUGUCCAACGUUAAUCGGGGCAGGGUGAGUCGACCCCUAAGGCGAGGCCGAAAGGCGUAGUCGAUGGGAAACAGGUUAAUAUUCCUGUACUUGGUGUUACUGCGAAGGGGGGACGGAGAAGGCUAUGUUGGCCGGGCGACGGUUGUCCCGGUUUAAGCGUGUAGGCUGGUUUUCCAGGCAAAUCCGGAAAACCAAGGCUGAGGCGUGAUGACGAGGCACUACGGUGCUGAAGCGACAAAUGCCCUGCUUCCAGGAAAAGCCUCUAAGCAUCAGGUAACAUCAAAUCGUACCCCAAACCGACACAGGUGGUCAGGUAGAGAAUACCAAGGCGCUUGAGAGAACUCGGGUGAAGGAACUAGGCAAAAUGGUGCCGUAACUUCGGGAGAAGGCACGCUGAUAUGUAGGUGAAGCGACUUGCUCGUGGAGCUGAAAUCAGUCGAAGAUACCAGCUGGCUGCAACUGUUUAUUAAAAACACAGCACUGUGCAAACACGAAAGUGGACGUAUACGGUGUGACGCCUGCCCGGUGCCGGAAGGUUAAUUGAUGGGGUUAGCGGCAACGCGAAGCUCUUGAUCGAAGCCCCGGUAAACGGCGGCCGUAACUAUAACGGUCCUAAGGUAGCGAAAUUCCUUGUCGGGUAAGUUCCGACCUGCACGAAUGGCGUAAUGAUGGCCAGGCUGUCUCCACCCGAGACUCAGUGAAAUUGAACUCGCUGUGAAGAUGCAGUGUACCCGCGGCAAGACGGAAAGACCCCGUGAACCUUUACUAUAGCUUGACACUGAACAUUGAGCCUUGAUGUGUAGGAUAGGUGGGAGGCUUUGAAGUGUGGACGCCAGUCUGCAUGGAGCCGACCUUGAAAUACCACCCUUUAAUGUUUGAUGUUCUAACGUGGGCCCCUAAUCGGGGUUGCGGACAGUGUCUGGUGGGUAGUUUGACUGGGGCGGUCUCCUCCUAAAGAGUAACGGAGGAGCACGAAGGUUGGCUAAUCCUGGUCGGACAUCAGGAGGUUAGUGCAAUGGCAUAAGCCAGCUUGACUGCGAGCGUGACGGCGCGAGCAGGUGCGAAAGCAGGUCAUAGUGAUCCGGUGGUUCUGAAUGGAAGGGCCAUCGCUCAACGGAUAAAAGGUACUCCGGGGAUAACAGGCUGAUACCGCCCAAGAGUUCAUAUCGACGGCGGUGUUUGGCACCUCGAUGUCGGCUCAUCACAUCCUGGGGCUGAAGUAGGUCCCAAGGGUAUGGCUGUUCGCCAUUUAAAGUGGUACGCGAGCUGGGUUUAGAACGUCGUGAGACAGUUCGGUCCCUAUCUGCCGUGGGCGCUGGAGAACUGAGGGGGGCUGCUCCUAGUACGAGAGGACCGGAGUGGACGCAUCACUGGUGUUCGGGUUGUCAUGCCAAUGGCACUGCCCGGUAGCUAAAUGCGGAAGAGAUAAGUGCUGAAAGCAUCUAAGCACGAAACUUGCCCCGAGAUGAGUUCUCCCUGACUCCUUGA
This 2787-nucleotide ribosomal RNA is filed under the name Escherichia coli. Its description in RNAcentral is "bacterial LSU rRNA". It matches the Rfam family "Bacterial large subunit ribosomal RNA". The record is from RNAcentral. Lineage: Bacteria; Pseudomonadati; Pseudomonadota; Gammaproteobacteria; Enterobacterales; Enterobacteriaceae.